GCUUGAACACCGAUUUUAUAAAAAUGGGAGUUAAAAGGAUGGAGCAACCUCGAACUUCAGAAGGUAAACAAAAAAUUGGAGCUAAUAAGACGAUAAGCUCAUUGUGACAGCGACUACGAACCACAAAACGAGACUCACCUAACAAAUCAUCACAAUUAGAGUACAACAAAUUUAAAUAAGAGAACUAGCUAACUAAAAAUCGCUUACCUACGAGGCAUGUCGAUAGAAGGAUAAGGGGUCAUUAGGUUUAAAUUUCCAAUUACAAUGAAAGAAGAAAAAACCCUCCUUCCAAAAAAAGCAUAUGAACAGUGGGUGAGAUAACCAACACUGGACAGGCUAUGGAAAAGCCAGAGUAAAAAGAAUAAUAUCCGUUAUGGGAAUUUGCAAGAUGAAAAGGAAUUCAAAGUCCCAUUUCUAAUAAAUGCCUGUGAAUAGCAUGCAACUUGGGGGGUGGACGAUUCACUGUUAGAAAUGGCUCAGGAUACAAAAGCUCUAUGUCGUUGAAGAUGUUGAAAUGAAUCCUAAUAUCAACCGAAUCUUGUUCAAUAAGGUUACUAAAAUUUCCCGAAGCUCCAUAAACGUCCCUCACACCCUCAUUAAGAUUAACUUGCGCUCCAGAAGAUUCAAAUGCUAACUAAAAAGCCAUCCUCAGACCAAAAUUUUCCCAAUUGACCUAAAAGUGCUAGGUUAUGAGAAUCAGCAUGAGAAGACGUUGUAGGAAGAGAGGCGGAGGCUGUAAGUUUAAGAUGAGAAAUCUUUGUUAUUCAAUAGAAAUAAGGAAGCAAGAUGAGGGAGAUCAACCAAAGUGAUGACAUAUUUAUAGAUUAUGACAAAGAAUACUAACCAUUAAAACACAACAAUGGCAAUCAUAAUCGUUGAAAAUGAACAAGCAGUUAUUCAGAUCCCGAGGUAAAAUUACAUACAGCCCAUGCAUGCCUGAGAAAAUCUUGGACUAUUCAUGAGAAAAAGGCAAAUAAGGCCCAUCUGCUUGCAUAAAGUGAAAAUGAUCAUAGACAUGUCCCCCACAUUUUCCUUGGCCAGCAAAAAUAAAGUGGAGUAAAGAAUAAAACUUUUAAUAGCCUUGCCAACCAAAAUAUAGUAAAUGAAGUCCUAGAUUCAAUAUAAAUAGUGAAACUAGACUUGGGGGAUAUUUGCUUACCUUCUAGCACGAUCUAAUUCAUUGAUGGAGCAUGAAACAAUGCGAAUGGAGUAAAAAAGUAAAAGAUUUGCACAUAUAACAGCGAAUUGAUCCCCGUAUAUUGGAUGGCUAUAGACUGUCAAUGGAAGGUAUAAGGGCAAGGGAAAUAAAGUGUGAACCUUAACCGAAUUAGUUACAAGUUAGCUAAUAACCUUUCAUUCCCUAAAAGUGACGAAAUUACUCUAGCGCUUGAAGGGAAGUUUAUAAAUACCCUUCCUCUCAUUUGAAGGAAGGCAUGCAAUUCAUGUAUCUCCCUCUCAAAGAGUUAUUUCUCCUCUUGUUCUAAUUUAAGCAUCU
RNAcentral lists this long non-coding RNA (1495 nucleotides) under Olea europaea (common olive). Its description in RNAcentral is "long non-coding RNA (OEUR_LNC009714)". The record is from RNAcentral. Lineage: Eukaryota; Viridiplantae; Streptophyta; Magnoliopsida; Lamiales; Oleaceae.